This 467-nucleotide ribosomal RNA is filed under the name uncultured bacterium. Its description in RNAcentral is "partial 16S ribosomal RNA". It matches the Rfam family "Bacterial small subunit ribosomal RNA", at positions 28 to 507 of the family's 1533-position model. The record is from RNAcentral.
GAUGAACGCUGACAGAAUGCUUAACACAUGCAAGUCAACUUGAAUUUGGGUUUUUAACUUCGGUUUGGGUGGCGGACGGGUGAGUAACGCGUAAAGAACUUGCCUCACAGCUAGGGACAACAUUUGGAAACGAAUGCUAAUACCUAAUAUUAUGAUAAUAGGGCAUCCUAUAAUUAUGAAAGCUAUAAGCGCUGUGAGAGAGCUUUGCGUCCCAUUAGCUAGUUGGAGAGGUAACGGCUCACCAAGGCGAUGAUGGGUAGCCGGCCUGAGAGGGUGAUCGGCCACAAGGGGACUGAGACACGGCCCGUACUCCUACGGGAGGCAGCAGUGGGGAAUAUUGGACAAUGGACCGAGAGUCUGAUCCAGCAAUUCUGUGUGCACGAUGAAGUUUUUCGGAAUGUAAAGUGCUUUCAGUUGGGAAGAAACAAAUGACGGUACCAACAGAAGAAGUGACGGCUAAAUACGUG